Molecule: long non-coding RNA, 810 nt
Filed under: Mus pahari (shrew mouse)
Lineage: Eukaryota; Metazoa; Chordata; Mammalia; Rodentia; Muridae
Description: RIKEN cDNA 1700069P05 gene (MGP_PahariEiJ_G0005100.1)
Source: RNAcentral
AAGCUGAGACGUUACAUCCACAACUAUGAGGUGAAGAGAGAUAAUUGCAAUAGUGUGGGCUUUUGAAACCUCAUGGGCCACCCUCAGUGACACACCCUCUCCAGUAAGGCCACAUCUUCCUGAACAGUUCCACUAACUGGGGACCAAGUAUUGAAACAUACUAAAGUCACAUCAGAUAAGAGUUCUCUCUUGAAGACCCCAGACAAAGGAACAAAGUGGGUGGAUGAUAGGGGACACCUCGUGAACAGCCUUCCCCACACACCUCAGGGGUCUGUCUUCUUGGAGCAUGAAAGUUAUGCUUCAUUUCCUGUGUCAGAGAGGUCCCAACUCAGGCCUUGGGUCUGGGGAGAUGCCAAGGCCAGCAGUGGGUAAAUAUUUGUUCCCUCAUGCUUAUGGGCUUGGGUCCUGCUAGGUUUAGAGGCAGGGGUUGAGACUCUUAAGGCAGACUUGAGGAUCUAGGCACCUACAUCCAUUAAGGUUAGGAAUUCAGAAGCAGUAGGCCGUAAGCACUCACAUUCCUCUCAGGCAGCAUGGAUCCAGUUCUAGCCAUAUUCAGUAUGUGGGUGGAGUAGAGCUACAGCUGGUCCCUACCACACCCAGCCCAGUGUGCAGUGUCAGGGGCAAAAUCCACUUUGUGGGUCAAACGUCUAAGCUUUGCAAGGCAAGGAGUUUAGCAUCAAGAGUGGUCCAUGGCUGUCUGCCCACCCACUGCUGGGACAGAAGCAGCUCUCAGCCACAGCCACCCCCAUCAAUCAAUAUUUUUAAUUACCUUUACAUGAUUGACUAAUAAAAUUCUCCACUGACUAAUUG